Trifolium pratense (red clover) is the source of this 361-nucleotide long non-coding RNA. RefSeq lists it as uncharacterized. Lineage: Eukaryota; Viridiplantae; Streptophyta; Magnoliopsida; Fabales; Fabaceae. The transcript is spliced from 2 exons. The record is from RefSeq and is a predicted model, not a curated record.
UUGCAGGUUUGAGCAGUAUGUUGAUUGUGCUCUUGAAGUUCCAAUGUAUUUUGUCAAUCGAAAAUAGAAAUAUAUCGACUGUACUGGCAUGAGCUUCAAGGUCAGGCUAAGGAGAUAUUUGGAGAUGAGAGGUGCUGAUGGAGGGCCUAUGAGAAGUUUAUGUGCUGGAUUUGGAUUUGGAUUUGCAAUUUUUUUUUUUUUUUGUGGAUACUAAUUGCAGCUUAAGCAGCAAAUAGUGGCAGCUGAUGGCUCAAUCCUUAUGUAUUGAAAUUUUAUCUUAGUUAAAACUUUGGUUGUAUAAUUCUAAUUACUAUAUGUUUAAGCAAUAUUUUAAUUAAAAUUAUGUUUUCUUUGUUGAUUA